RNAcentral lists this ribosomal RNA (458 nucleotides) under uncultured Candidatus Sumerlaeota bacterium. RNAcentral describes it as "bacterial SSU rRNA". It matches the Rfam family "Bacterial small subunit ribosomal RNA", at positions 927 to 1382 of the family's 1533-position model. Lineage: Bacteria; Candidatus Sumerlaeota. The record is from RNAcentral.
AAGACGGUGGAGCACGUGGUUUAAUUCGAUGCAAACCGAAGAACUUACCUGGUCUUGACAUCCCGGAGACCCUUAGGAACUAGGGGUGCUUCCAUCUGGAAGAAUCUGGAGACAGGUGCUGCAUGGCUGUCGUCAGCUCGUGUCGUGAGAUGUUGGGUUAAGUCCCGCAACGAGCGCAACCCUUGCCUUUAGUUGCCAUCAGUUCGGCUGGGCACUCUAUGGAGACUGCCACCUAAAGUGGAGGAAGGUGGGGAUGACGUCAAGUCAGCAUGGCCCUUACGUCCGGGGCUACACACGUGCUACAAUGGCCGGUACAAAGGGUUGCGAAGCCGUGAGGUGGAGCGAAUCUCAAAAAGCCGGCCUCAGUUCGGAUUGGAGGCUGCAACUCGCCUCCAUGAAGUCGGAAUCGCUAGUAACCGCAGAUCAGCUACGUUGCGGUGAAUACGUUCCCGGGCCUU